GGUCUCUUUUGCAGCCUCUACCAUGUUUUCUUCCAGCAUCACCCUGUAUUUAGCUCGUAUCACGUUUCCUGUCUCAACUGAAGAAAAACAUUCCCAUAGCAUAAUGCUGCCACUAUCAUGUUUCACUAUAAGAAUGGUGUGUUCAGGUACUGGUUAGUUUUCUCCCAUGCAUAGCAGUUUGCAUAUAGGCCAAUAUGUAAAGUUUUGGCCUCAUAGGAGCGGUACACCUUCUUCCACAUGAUUGCUGUGUUCCUUGCACAGGUUUUUGCAAACUGCAAACAGAACUUCUUAUGGCUUUCUUUUUGACCCUGUUCAGAUUUGUGUAGUGCACAACUAACAGUUAUUUUAUCGACAGAUUCUCCAACCUGAGCUCUGGCUCUCUGCAGUUCCUCCAGAGGCACCAUGGGCCUCUUGGCUGCUUCUGGUAGAUUGUCGUGUGUUUGUGGGUUUCCAGGUGUUUCCUGAGAGGCUUUAUAUAUAAAAUUACACGUUUCCUAACUGGUUGACUUCUGAAGGGAACUGGAUUUUACUAAGGGGUUAUUAAAGUAAACAUGGUUUCAUUUAAAUGCACUGUACUACACUGUUCAAAUUUUUGUCUGUAUGAUAAUGUAAGAACCACACAUCCUUCUCCUACUUCACCUUUAUGCUCUACUUUGUGUUGAUCAAUCACAAAAUCCUAUUAAAAGACAUUGAAGUUAGUGGUUGAGCUGUGACAAAGUUCUAGGGGUAUGAAUAGCUUUGCAUUGCACUGUGGAGAGGGUUUACCAUAUUGUUGUUAUUGGGAUAAUAACUUUAAAAAAAUCUGGAAUUACAUGUCUUGAUACCUUUUACAUUGAUGCCAAAGUCCUGAGUGGCAACGUGCAUCCAUUUACAAUCAGUACAUUUUUUUAGCAGCUACAAUUUGGCAGCAGACCAAUGCACAAACAGAACAGACCUUCUGAAAUCACCUUACUGCCUCAUCGUUUCCCGUUUCCCCUCUCCUCCUGUGGUUUUUAGUGGUUAUUAGUGACUUUUGCAUCUCAGAGUGUAAUCUUUCCGUGUCGUAUAUACAAAACAUAUACCAGUUGCAUCCUUUGUAGAAUAAUGUGGUUUGCAAAAUGUUUUGUUUGCCAUGUGUUUUUUAGAAAAGUAUUUUAAUUUAGCCUUUUUAUAGGACAGUGGAAAAAAAUCAGCAUGCCUUUUAUUGGAAAAAAUGUAUACUUUAAACAUUAUAAUGAUAAUAAAGAAUGUUUGGCUGACUACUGUGGUAAAAGAAAGCAAAGGGUUUGGACAUUUCGCCUUCUUCUUGUUUAUGUUCCUCUUUACUAUCUGUCUCCUCUUGUGUAAAAUAACCACCAGACCCAUUUGACUGGGGAUCCAGGGGGAGGCAGGUGUAGAUGCUGGCCCAGCUUUGCUGACUUUGCUCAGGGUCACCGUGCUACCUGGAACACCCUGUGUGCAGCCUCACGUGAGCCAUGGGGACGACUUUUAGCGCGACGCCACCGCAGUGGAAACUUGUUGUCUCUCUUUCUCUUCACCACCAAGGUAAAUCGACUAAGUACAACCGAAAGAAAUCAUGACAGCACUGACCUCUCUCCUACCUAAUUGCCCUCCCUCCCCUCACUUUCCUUUGACUGUGGCUUGAUACAGCACCCACCCCCUUCCUUCCCUUCGCCAUUACCACCUCCCCCUCUCUCUCCCAAGUCCGUAAUCUCUCUUCUACUGCAUCGGCAGUGUUUGUACCUGUAGCCUGGGUCUUCUCCUCACUGGGAGUGAUGGGCCGGCUGGGGUGGGGCAGGGUUAAGAGCCCUCCAUAGGACUGACCCUGUUCUGCAUCAGCAUAUGAGGUGCCCUUUGUUCGGGUGGUGUGUGAGCUGGUGAAAAAUAGGUGCGAUGUGUUAGUGUGUGCUUGUGUGUGUGUGUUUAAAAAAAAAACAUACUUUCUGGGCAUCAUUUCAUUGGUCAAUGAGGCUUGGCGUAAGUGGACACACCCAGAACCCAUCCCCUUGCCAGCUAAUCAACUCCUGUCCACCGCCGUAUUCGCCGCCCUCAACCCUCUUCACUCUUCCUCCCUUCUCCUUCUUUAACCCCCCACCCUGCUCUCCCUCUUUGCGCAUCUCCUCACCUCUCCGCCGUCCACGCACACAGCGCUUCCACCCCCCCUCCCCCACCCCCCUCCCCCGUCGGCACCGCCGCCACCUUGGAUCUGGGUUUCAUCGCUCUGGCUUGGACUCAACUUCCCAGAACCACCUACCUGACCCAAAACACAUACAUCCCCCCAUCAACCUUUGUUAUCAUAGACACCCAGGCGUGCCAAAAGGAGUAUGUAUUUGUGGCGUCCCGCCUUUUGGACUUUGUCCUGUGACAGAGAGAGACUUGAGGAAUUGCUUUGCUACAACUGUUGAAUGUUGGUUGUGCACAACAUGGCUAUGGUAGGGAUGUAAAGGCAACAUAUAAUGUCGGGCAACCUAAAACUAAAGGGUGACAGUUAACUUCCCAGAAACGUCCUAUAAGAAAGGCCCACAGGCCAGUCUUACCUGUAGAUUCUCAUCAAUCUCAGGGUUCUUAUAGGACUUUUCUGCUACCACUUCUUAGUAGCCUGUAUGUGUUCUGACAUGUUAGUAUUUGAAUUAGAGACUCUAAUCUUUGGGGACAGUUUCAUUUAAGUUGUUUAGCAUUGGCUUUGAGAGCUGCAGGAUGGGAGUGAUGCCCUCUUUAUGCCUAACAAGCAAAAAGACAGGACCAAGGAUUUGAUGAGAAGCAAAUAGAUGGGUUGAUUAUAAGGUGAGUUGGUGGUCUAGUUCCGAAGGUAUAGAACAACAAUAAAAGGGUUAAACAUUUGUUUUCUUACCCUUAAGACAUCGUACUCAAGCCAGUUUUUUUUAUAAGCAACCUCCUGUAGAGUAGGAGAACCCCCACACAGAAACUCCAUAUUUUUUCUUCACUCUCCCAACUUCCCCACUAAAGGCUUCUGGUGCUUGUGAGUCUGGGGCUUCAACCAUGCUUCAGUAAUUGCAGUCAAGCAUCUCUUAAAAAAAAGAGAACAAAAAAAUACCCUGCUCUUAAAUCAGUCGCACUGCAUCGCCAGCCAAAGCUCACUGCUGCCCCCUCCCCUCCGCACCAACCUACUCUCAUGCCCCAACCUUUCUGUCCACCUCUUUGUCUGUUGUUGUUUUAGCAGAGCAACUUGCAUGUGCAGAUUAUGCACGUGUCAGUUCAUUGUUUUGAUGGCAUCCUGAAGGUUAUGUCUGUCUUUCUACAGAUGAUAAUAUCUGAAAGAUACAGCUAAGUGCAAACUGGUAGUAAGCUAACCCUAUGAAGGGCCAAAAGUGUCACAAUCCAGUAAAUAUUAUGUGAUUAAGGAAAAAGUAAUUAAAUGUGUUUAAUGUAUUUUUUAAAUGUUUAAAUAAUUGAAUGUAAAACUCAUUGAUUCAAAUUUAAAGUCAGUAUAUGUUCAAAUCAGACUGAUUUAACUUAGUAGACCUUUCAUCGCUCCAGUGGCAUCUGAUUGGUUAAUCUGCGAAAGAGGUCCUUCCUCAGAUCAGUCACCUUUAACUAGAGCAAUGUUAGCCCCAGCCAUUGACCAUUUAUAAAACAUAAUCAUGAUGAGCUGCAGAACAGAACUAUAAAAUGAUAAUAGGGACACAUAUACAUAAAGAAAAUUGCUAUAUUAAAGAUUUUAAACAGGAAAUACUGAAAUAAGUGCUUAACUUUUCCAAACACUUUUGUCCCUCCAUGAAACCCCAACUGCUAUCAGACAUUUUGCAUUUUUUUCUUAAUGUGACUUUCCUAGCACAAAUUUGAAUGGGACAGGACUGAUGUAUAUAACAGCAGGGUCAAACCUCAGACAAGCGGGUCAACCUGACCAACACCUGCAGGAAGCAGUGUAGUUUUUACACAAUAUAGCUGCAAGUAUUAUUUACAUCUGGAUGUAGCUCAAUGAACAAUUAACAGCAGAUGACUGAAAAGCCUAGGGAGUUUUACACAAGCUGUUUUAUGAUGAAAACGAAAUAUGUUUACAUCGGUCAGAUCACACAUUUCAACUGUUCCCGGCCUCAUGAGAGGAGCCGUAAUGUAACCACUGAGCUUCUUAUAGUAGGUUAAUGGACCAAGCUUACUGUAGUUACACCAGAUGUUUGAUUAAUUACAAUAUAAAUCACUCUAGAUUCCAAAGACUUAAAGGGUGACUUAGUAAUUUGCCAUCUCAAGAGGAUAGGAAUGUGGAUCUGCUCAUGUCAAAGCAAUUAGCGUUAGCACAAAGCUGAAUGUUGGGGGAUUUUAAUUCCCAAAUGUUAGAUCAGAAAUUUGCAUCAACAUGUUUACUGUGAAUGACAAAUCCUGAUAUAGAUACAAGUUAUAUUGUAUGGUUGUGUAGUCAUAUAUAUAUAUAUAUAUAUAUAUAUAUUUGCCUAUUAAACUGUAUUUCUGAAAAUGUGUUUUUUUAUUUUGCAUGCAAAUUAUAAAUAAAUAUUUUUUUCUCAUA
Girardinichthys multiradiatus is the source of this 4462-nucleotide long non-coding RNA. RefSeq lists it as uncharacterized. The record is from RefSeq and is a predicted model, not a curated record. NCBI's taxonomy places the organism in Eukaryota, Metazoa, Chordata, Actinopteri, Cyprinodontiformes, Goodeidae. The transcript has 2 exons.